CUCCAAUAGCGUAUAUUUAAGUUGUUGCAGUUAAAAAAGCUCGUAGUUGGAUUUCGGGUGGGUUGCAGCGGUCCGCCUCUGGUGAGUACUGCUUCGGCCUACCUUACUGCCGGGGACGGGCUCCUGGGCUUAACUGUUCGGGACUCGGAGUCGGCGAUGUUACUUUGAGGAACUUAGAGUGUUCAAAGCAAGCCUACGCU
This 200-nucleotide ribosomal RNA is filed under the name uncultured eukaryote. Its description in RNAcentral is "partial 18S ribosomal RNA". It matches the Rfam family "Eukaryotic small subunit ribosomal RNA", at positions 589 to 795 of the family's 1831-position model. The record is from RNAcentral.